GACGAACGCUGGCGGCGUGCUUAACACAUGCAAGUCGAACGAUGAAACCUAGCUUGCUAGGUCGAUUAGUGGCGAACGGGUGAGUAACACGUGACUAACCUGCCCCUUUCUCUGGGAUAACGCUCCGAAAGGAGUGCUAAUACCGGAUACUCACACCGAGGCACAUGCCUUGGUGUGGAAAGUUGUUCGGAAAGGGAUGGAGUCGCGGCCUAUCAGCUUGUUGGUGAGGUAACGGCUCACCAAGGCGACGACGGGUAGCCGGCCUGAGAGGGCGACCGGCCACACUGGGACGGAGACACGGCCCAGACUCCUACGGGAGGCAGCAGUGGGGAAUAUUGCACAAUGGGCGCAAGCCUGAUGCAGCGGCGCCGCGUGAGGGAUGAAGGUCUUCGGAUUGUAAACCUCUUUCAGUAGGGACGAAGCGAAAGUGACGGUACCUAAAGAAGAAGCACCGGCUAACUACGUGCCAGCAGCCGCGGUAA
RNAcentral lists this ribosomal RNA (482 nucleotides) under uncultured bacterium. RNAcentral's name for it is "partial 16S ribosomal RNA". It matches the Rfam family "Bacterial small subunit ribosomal RNA", at positions 28 to 523 of the family's 1533-position model. The record is from RNAcentral.